GAUUCCCCUAGUAACUGCGAGUGAAGAGGGAAAAGCUCAAAUUUAAAAUCUGGCAGUGUUUCGCUGUCCGAGUUGUAACCUAGAGAAGUGUUACCUGUGCUGGACCGUGUACAAGUCUCCUGGAAUGGAGCAUCACAGAGGGUGAGAAUCCCGUCUUUGACAUGGACUGCCAGUGCAUUGUGGUUGUGCUCUCAACGAGUCGAGUUGUUUGGGAAUGCAGCUCUAAAUGGGUGGUAAAUUCCAUCUAAAGCUAAAUAUUGGCGAGAGACCGAUAGCGAACAAGUACCGUGAGGCAAAGAUGAAAAGAACUUUGGAAAGAGAGUUAAACAGUAUGUGAAAUUGUUGAAAGGGAAACGUUUGAAGUCAGUCAUGUUGGCUGGGGAUCAGCCUGACAUUAUGUGGGUGUACUUCCUGGUUGACGGGCCAACAUCAGUUUUGACUGCCAGAAAAAGGCCAAGGGAAUGUGGCACCUUUGGGUGUGUUAUAGCUCUUGGUCGUAUGUGGUGGUUGGGACUGAGGAAAGCAGUGCGCCGAAAGGCAGGGUUUCGACCACAUUCGCACUGAGGAUGUUGGCAUAAUGGCUUUAAGCGACCCGUCUUGAAACACGGACCAAGGAGUCUAACAUGCAUGCGAGUGUUUGGGUGGAAACCCUUACGCGUAAUGAAAGUGAAAGUUGAGAUCCCUGUCAUGGGGAGCAUCGACGCCCGGACCAGAACUUUUGGGACGGAUCUGCGGUAGAGCACGUAUGUUGGGACCCGAAAGAUGGUGGCUAUGCUGAAUAGGGUGAAGCCAGAGGAAACUCUGGUGGAGGCCCGUAGC
RNAcentral lists this ribosomal RNA (819 nucleotides) under Amanita citrina. RNAcentral describes it as "LSU rRNA". It matches the Rfam family "Eukaryotic large subunit ribosomal RNA", at positions 73 to 881 of the family's 3401-position model. Lineage: Eukaryota; Fungi; Basidiomycota; Agaricomycetes; Agaricales; Amanitaceae. The record is from RNAcentral.